This 253-nucleotide ribosomal RNA is filed under the name uncultured bacterium. RNAcentral describes it as "partial 16S ribosomal RNA". It matches the Rfam family "Bacterial small subunit ribosomal RNA", at positions 524 to 776 of the family's 1533-position model. The record is from RNAcentral.
UACGAAGGGGGCUAGCGUUGCUCGGAAUCACUGGGCGUAAAGCGCACGUAGGCGGAUUGUUAAGUCAGGGGUGAAAGCCUGGAGCUCAACUCCAGAACUGCCCUUGAUACUGGCAAUCUCGAGUCCGGAAGAGGUAAGUGGAACUCCGAGUGUAGAGGUGAAAUUCGUAGAUAUUCGGAAGAACACCCGUGGCGCAAGCGGCCACCUGGCUGCCAACUGACGCUGAGGCACGAGAGCGUGGGGAGCGAACCGG